Molecule: unclassified non-coding RNA, 215 nt
Filed under: uncultured fungus
Lineage: Eukaryota; Fungi
Description: sequence contains ITS1
Source: RNAcentral
GUAUUAAUUGCGUGUGAUCGCAAAAAGAAAAACAUUCUACACUGUAUCGAGUUUGUGUGAAAACGUGAGCCCCCGAAAGGGGACCCACGCGGUGGUGCACAUAGGGGUGAGAUGGAUGUUUGAGAACGCUCGGGCGUGCACGACGAAAAAGUCAGCGACAGCCCCGGCACCUCCGUUAUACGAUAAUGAUCCUUCCGCAGGUUCACCUACGGAAA